CUCUGUGCCAAAGCGGCCUGGAGACACAGGGAGAAAUAGACUCAGUUCUUGCCUCGGAGUAUCAGGCCCAGGGUUCUCAGUGUGCUGGCCCAACAGGGACUCCCUACCUCACCUGCUUUUCAUUCUCAUGGCCACAUCAAAGGCUCUGAGAAGUCCUGCAAUCAAAGCAAAAGCUGGAGUCUCAUCUGACCAGAUGUCUCCCAAGAAAGAGGCUUCCAGGUGGAGCUAGUGGUAAAGAACCCACCUGCCAAUGCCAGAGAUGACGUAAGAGAUGAGGGUUCAGACCCUGGGUGGGGAAGAUACCCUGGAGGAGGGCAUGGCAACCCACUCCAGUAUUCUCACCUGGAGAAUCCUGUGGACAGAGGAGCCUGGCGGGCUACAGCCCAUAGGGUCUCAAAGACUCGGACGUGACUGAAGCAACUUAGCACACAUGCUCCCAGGAAAAUCUGAUUCCAGCAGUGACUUGAGAAUCACCCGUUCACACAACCAGGAACAAGAUGCCCCAGGAAUGCGGUUUGGACGAUGCUGUCCCAGAACAGUCUGUGCCCCCCCGGGCGUGGAGGUGCCGGGCCUGCAGGCAGGUGCUGCGACCCAGGAGUCACGAGGUGGGGUUGCCUCUCGUGAUGUGCGGUAUUUCAGAGUCUCAAUGCUCCUGCUUCUGCAAUGGGGACAACAACUGCCGUGUGGCAGGCACGUGACCGGGACGCAUGCCAGGAACAACGGCAGCUGUGGAAGGGGAGCCCCUGCUUGACUUGGGGAGUCCCAGACACCUCCUGGGCUGCUCAGCUCUGCCCUCUGACACCCCGUCUAACUGGAAAUAUUCCACCUCCUGGGAUUUCUUCAUCCCGUGGUUUUCUGCAUCCAAUGGCCCUGCUGACAUGCAUCGUGGCCCCUCAAGGCCAGAGGGAUUCAAACCAAGGACUGCCCCCUCCCCUGACCCGGACUCUUGGAACGAAGCCCAGACUCCUGGCCAGGGGUCAAGACCACGCAUUCCUCCAGGCCUGGCCACAACACCCAGCCAUUCCCGCUGCACCCAAGCACAACCCAGCCUGCCCUCAUUCACCCCCUGACCUUGACUCCACCACCUCCUCCGUCUGGAACAUUCUACCAGCUCCCCGCCCCCAAAUCUGGGUAACUCCCUCUCACCCUGGGUGCCGGCUCCACCUCCUCGGGAGCUGCCCCGCCCCUUUGCCCAGCGUCUGUCUACACCGGCGGCCACACUUACAGCCCCGUGGCCCCAUCUGUGUUCCCUCCAUCUGCCGUCUCUCCUGCUAGACUGAGACCCCCUACAGUGGGGACUGGGGUUCCUGUGUGCCAUGGACGCCCAGGAAGGCACAAUGCUAGGAGCUGGGCUGCAGCCUUUGGGCUCAUCCGACUCCUUGGCAGGACCAAGGGGCCCUCGAGUCCUGGGCUGACCCCCCAGGGUCCAGUGUCGGGGGAGAUCUGCGGAUGCAGAAACCGCGGGGAGGGGUAGUUCAGGGCCCCUCCCAGGGAGACACCGUUCCUGAGCAGGGAAACAGGCCCCGCGUAUA
Molecule: long non-coding RNA, 1532 nt
Organism: Bos taurus (domestic cattle)
Lineage: Eukaryota; Metazoa; Chordata; Mammalia; Artiodactyla; Bovidae
Source: Ensembl